UAAAGCGUUUUGUCCAGACGCGCAUCAAGGAAAAAAAGGCGCACGUUCGUCGAAAGACGCGCUUCCUAUCUCAAAUGCGCUCUCGGGUUGAAGGGAAUUAUGUUCUAUAAAUCUGAGCUCGGUUGUGAAGCGCUAUUAGUCAGAUCAGAUGUCAAUCAGCAGUGGGCUGUGGAAUUUGACACCUCUGCGUCAUCAGCGGGGAAGGGUGGGGGCAGUGAGUGACCCCUUCCAUGUCCGCCGGGGAUGACUGCGGUGGACCCUGGGAUAUGUAGUUUUCGGCUUAUUAUAUACAACGCUCGCAAGCGGAAAAGCUUUCGCAUAUGCUUCUAGGAAAAUACCAAUUUAUAAUAAUCAUAUUACAAGUUAUGGAUGAUCACCGGCGCCGUGGAGAGGAGUGGACGCGCGUCUGGUGAGGCUAUAAGCGUGUUAGGCCAUAUAGCAGCUCCGGUUAGCGGAUAGCCCGCAGCUCGCGACCAAACAGACAGAGAGGGUGCUGAAGAUGCUGAAGUGAGACAGGAUUGCUGAGGUCAGAUGCUCUGAAUCAGUAUACCAAUACAGAAUGCACAUGAAUGAAAUGAUAUAAAGCUGGAGAAUGUGGAUUCUAUUUUAGAUUGUGAUAGACCAGAUAUAUUUUAUAAUGUAAUGCAGUUUGCUAGAGCACACAGGGCCUGAGUUAUCUACUUUCAAAGACAAGUGUUUAGAACACACAAAAAAAGUGCCUUGUAUUGAGGUGGUUCAUCAUGUGAAAAACAACACAAAUAAUAAUAUUUGUCACAAACAGCAGCUUUUUAUGUCACUUCAAAGGGUUUUCUGUAAAAGGAUAUAUAGAUAUUGCAUUUAUUCUACUAUAUGUGGGUAUUUGGAGUCUUCAAAUGUGGGUAGGCGGAAAAUGUAUACAAAAAGGGUAUUAUUCCUCCCUUUAGAUGGAAUAGAUUAACUUUUGCAUAGAUUAUGAUAGAAACAAAUUUCCUUUUUCCUCUAUUAGCUGACAUGUGCUGGAAACAAAUACAAUUGUUUGCAGGAUGCUGGACCUCUCAGAACCUGAGCUAUACAAUU
Molecule: long non-coding RNA, 1056 nt
Organism: Cyprinus carpio (common carp)
Lineage: Eukaryota; Metazoa; Chordata; Actinopteri; Cypriniformes; Cyprinidae
Exons: 2
Source: RefSeq, a predicted model, not a curated record